CCGAGGCUUCAGUGCGCUCAGGCAUCGCAUACCAUACCGACAUACGCAAUGUCCUCGGUAGACUAGGAAUUCCAAGGCCGUUAGCCAUCAGCAUCCUGAGCCCCUAGGCCGAAAUGUUGUGUAAAUGGACGUACAAGGGAAAGAGUGAGACAAAUAGACAGAGGUGUGGCACUAUGAAGUACGCAGUAUGAAGUUGCUAGAAAUGGAGAGAGAGAGAGAGAGAGAGAGAGAGAGAGAGUGAAAGAGAGAGGCCAUGGGAAAGGAGAGAGACAGAGAGGAACUGACAGACAGAAAGAGACAGCUGGCCUACGUGUAGAAGUGAGUGAGUUGCCAUUGCAGGUCACGGAUUUUCCGUGUGUUGUUUUAACCCUAAAUGUAUUAAAGUGGAGAAUGAACGCUGCAGUACACUGGCUGCACGCAGCCUCACGGCUGAUUUGCAAGGGAAAGCACAGAGUCAUGGUUCACCUUCCAAGUGAGAUGCAUCGCACUGCUGCCUCCACUGCCCCUCACAAGAUGUCCGAAAGGAUGACCAGAGAGAAAAAUAACCACAAGAAAUUAAGGUUUGACAAGGGUUAAAUGAAGGUUAUACGUCUUAACAAGGUGGUUUCCCAAUUCAUUCUCACUGAUCUUUAGAUGAGGGAAGCACUUGACAUGACACAGGCCCAAUGUCAGAUUAACUACCAGUGGAAUAACCUAUGUAGCUAUGCCAUUUCAGAAUGCAAUGUACUGUAUGUCCUUGUGGUGAUACUGCCUUCAGUGCCUUGACUAGCUCUGCUAUUGAGGCAAUAAAAUAUCCCCGUGAUUUCCACAGAUCAGGCUGAAAUGAGGGAAAGGGAAAGGGGAUACCUAGUCAGUUGCACAACUGAAUGCGUUCAACCAAAAUGUGUCUUCCGAUUUGAACCCAACCCCUCUGAAUCAGGGGGAGCGGUGGUGCACAUAGAUGACAUGAAAUAGACCUUCUGUCAGUGUAGAGCAAUGUAGUCUCACGUUGUUUAUUAUUACCUUAUUACCUCAGUUACUGUCUCUGUUUCAAAUGAUUAAAAUAAAUAAAUAAUCAUUAUUAUUAUUAUCAAAGUAAUUGUAUAUCUUUCUCUAUGAAAGCACUUUUGCUCCCCAGGUAGUGUAAUGUAGGCAUGGUAAGAGAUGUACAGUGCAUUACAAUUCCAUACAGCAAUAUAGCACUGUGUCAUCGCAUGUAUGGCUACUAAUAAAGUUAUUCAAGCUCCUUUCAAACAAAAUGGCUGACAGCAGUAUCCUUCUUUAACCUCUGCCAUCCUGCUUCCGUGUCUCUCAUUCCUCCCACUCUCUCGACCCUGCAGUAGAGGGAGUAGGAAGAGGAGGGGGAAAAUCCCCAAAUUCUCAGUCUCCAUAGCAACAGUAGUCAGGUGACCUUGUCUCCGACUCAUACUGCUGAGUCAGAGAAAUUGAAGGCUUGAACAAGAUGGAGAACAGAAUAUAGUGAGACAGAGAGAGAGAGAGAGAGAGAGAGAUUAAAUGGA
This is a non-coding RNA of Salmo salar (Atlantic salmon), 1499 nucleotides long. The record is from RefSeq and is a predicted model, not a curated record. NCBI's taxonomy places the organism in Eukaryota, Metazoa, Chordata, Actinopteri, Salmoniformes, Salmonidae.